CUAUGACGUUUGUCAUGGCGGAAGGAG
Molecule: non-coding RNA, 27 nt
Filed under: unclassified sequences
Source: RNAcentral